AUGGGAUCUGUGGAUAUGACCCUGCUUCCACAGGAAUGUGAAGUGUCCCUUGGAAGAGCUUCCGCCACCUUCCAGGCAGAACUGAAGUCCUCACCAGCCCUGGUGCCCAACCCCUCUUCCCUUCCAGACGACGUGACCAAGGUGAAACCCCCCACGGUCACCGUGUUUGAACCGUCGGAAGCAGAGAUCAGCCGGACCCAGAAGGCCACGCUCGUGUGCCUGGCCACGGGCUUCUACCCCGACCACGUGGAGCUGAGCUGGUGGGUGAACGGGAAGCAGGCCAAGAGCGGGGUCGGCACAGACCCUCAGCCCUACAAGGAGCAGCCCGACCGCAGCGACUCCACCUACUGUCUGAGCAGCAGGCUGAGGGUCUCUGCCUCCUUCUGGCACAAUCCUCGCAACCACUUCCGCUGCCAAGUCCAGUUCUACGGGCUGGACAGCGACUACAAGGACUCUUGGAAGGAGAACCGCACCAUGCCCGUCACCCAGAAUGUCAGUGCUGAGACCCGGGGCAGAGCAGAGUGUGGCUUCACCUCGGAGUCCUAUCAGCAAGGGGUCCUGUCUGCCACCCUCCUCUAUGAGAUCCUGCUGGGGAAGGCCACGGUGUAUGCGGUGCUGGUCAGCGCCCUGGUGCUGAUGGCCAUGCUCAAGAAAAAGGAUUCCUGA
Miniopterus natalensis is the source of this 666-nucleotide non-coding RNA. The record is from the annotation of a RefSeq genome assembly. Lineage: Eukaryota; Metazoa; Chordata; Mammalia; Chiroptera; Miniopteridae.